RNAcentral lists this long non-coding RNA (383 nucleotides) under Ananas comosus (pineapple). RNAcentral describes it as "long non-coding RNA (ACOM_LNC034536)". Lineage: Eukaryota; Viridiplantae; Streptophyta; Magnoliopsida; Poales; Bromeliaceae. The record is from RNAcentral.
AUUUUGACAUAAUUUAUUUACUAAAUAAACGAUGUAAAAAAAAACUAAAAUUUUAUUCCUAAGAACUUCAUAUACUCUAGAUCAUAUUUAACGGUGUGGAAGAGACUCACCGAUUGGAAGAGCUUUUUUCAAAAGUUAAAGUAAUGCAGUAAAUGAUUUAUCACUCCACCCAUUAAGACAUUUAAGUUGAAGUAAAUUGACGAUAAAUUCCAAUUUAGAGAAUUUUUCACACCCUGGAUAUAGCUCUCUCUCAGCAUCCAUUAAUAAAUUAUAAAAAUUUUUUGCCGCCUCAUUUGGUUCGUCGUGAUUUGUAUCAAUACAAUCAUCAUUUGCAUUCUCCAUUUGGACUAAAUCAUAUAUAAGUUCAUGCAUAUCAUCAUGGC